AUGGCAAAUAAUAGCAUUCUCCAAGUCUUUGUUGUUUUUCUCAUUGCGCAAGUCUUCUUGCUCAUGAUGAUUGCAGCACCGAUAGCACAGGCAGCUGGCAGGCUUAUGGGAUACAACCCAGUUUGCUGCCCUAGGGACAUCUAUUGUUGUGGGCUCGGUGGCGUGAUGGCCAAUGGAACCGCAUCCUCCAUGAAGCCUUGA
RNAcentral lists this ribosomal RNA (201 nucleotides) under Triticum aestivum (bread wheat). RNAcentral's name for it is "partial small subunit ribosomal RNA". Lineage: Eukaryota; Viridiplantae; Streptophyta; Magnoliopsida; Poales; Poaceae. The record is from RNAcentral.